Molecule: long non-coding RNA, 279 nt
Filed under: Nicotiana benthamiana
Lineage: Eukaryota; Viridiplantae; Streptophyta; Magnoliopsida; Solanales; Solanaceae
Description: long non-coding RNA (NBEN_LNC001681)
Source: RNAcentral
CCUUGAGGCACCCUUUCUCUAGCAGCCUCUUGGCUUCAUUCUUUACAAUCGAACCAGGCCAGUAGCUGCUCCUGGUGAACAGCUGUAGCAUCGACAGAUUAGAGCGAAAACUCCUCAAACUUCAAUCAUUUCUUUAUUCUUUGUUGUUUUAUUUUUUUUCAAUCAUUUCUUUAUUUCUUUAUUGUUUUUUCUAGGAGGACAGUAAAAGUUGUAACCAUGUUUUAACCUUCUGGAUGGUAUGUUGUAAGGAAUUACCUGCAAAUGCGCUAUUCCGCUAAC